Molecule: non-coding RNA, 1293 nt
Organism: Callorhinus ursinus (northern fur seal)
Lineage: Eukaryota; Metazoa; Chordata; Mammalia; Carnivora; Otariidae
Source: RefSeq, a predicted model, not a curated record
UGGUUCAGGAGCACCUGGUUUGGGGGGCCCUCAGAGAAGUACACAUCCACACCAGGCUCAUCCAUAGCAGCCCCUUCUGGCUGCAGAAGGAAAGGAAUCCUGAACAUCAGAGACCUGGAGGUGAUAUCCUGUUCCUCCUGCGAAGAUGUAGUCCUGUUUACACCUUCCGUGUUUCCACCUGCCGUAGCCUGACUCAGCCUGCAUGCAGCACCGAUGAAAACUUUUCGUUCUAGCAUCCAUCAAUUAACUUUGGGGAGCACUGUAUCACCUCUCGGAGAAUCACAACACAUUUAGCUCAUCAAAGGCUCUGAGAAGUCCUGCAUCAAGAAGUGCAAAAACCCAAGUCCUAAGUUUGGUUGUGGAACACUCUUUUCACAGCAUCUACCAACAUCCUGAGGAAAAGAGUUAGGGAAAUAUAGAUCCAGAGAUACCAAAAGGCAUAAAGUUAAGCUGUAAGCUUUCACUUUUUAUAACCUUAGACUAAAAAUUGAUGGGCCAAUCUAUUUUUAAAGAUUCUUCUAUUUUUCUAGCAGACCAUCUUUUCUCCUAUUACAAGGAAACUGGACUUUCUCUGAAUUUUUCAAAGUUAUAUUUGGGGCAGAGUAAACAAAUACAAAUUUCUGUUUUUGGAGCACAAGCAUAAAACAUUAUUCUUGAAUCAGUCGCCAUAGAGACUCUCAAUUGGUUAUUUUACGUGCUGUUUGCCAUUUACGUCCCGCCCCACCUUCAUCUGUAUAAUCAGCUACUAUUGAACGCAGGUAAUACGUUCCCGUGGCUGCCCCACGCGGCCGGAGUAGGCUGCAGACUUCUGCUAAGGCAUAAAUAGAGGGCAGACCUUGCCUCUGGCGUGGCUGACCUCGGCUGCAUAGGCUGUCGGCCCUCCCUGCUCUCCCCCGCCCAGACUGGCUCUUGAGGCCAGGCUGGGGUGACAUCCUUUCAGCUUUAGAGUUCGCAUGAGCUUGCGCUGUACCUCAGUCGUGGAUGGGACGUGUGAGGGUAUUAGCACGUUGGGGUUGGAAAUCCUCCCCAGGAAUCACCCAGCAAGUUCUGCCUCUCAUUUUAAGAAUCAGGUGGGGAGAAUGGUGGCCUGAAAGGUCCAAGGACUUACUGAUGCUGCUGCGACAUUCUAUGACCUCAGACUGCAAGUAAGAGCCAAUCCCGAAGCGGUUUGUUGCAGCCACGCGGAACACAUACUCAUUUCCUUCAGCGCAGGUUUGCCAGAAAUGCCAGCUCUGAGCUUCACAGAUGUACCUGCUCUGUAUUUGACAACUUCUGUAUAUUCUAGAGGCAAAU